CCCCCAGUAACGGCGAGUGAAGAGGGAAGAGCCCAUAGCCGAACCCGCUCGGCCUAGGUCGGACGGGCAUGUGGCGUACGGAUCUCAUCGCGCGCAACGGCUCGGCAGCCGCACGUCCUAGUGAUUCAGGCCUUUCCCAGAGAGGGUGUCAGGCCCGUACUUGGUUGUCGGACCGGGGCGCAGGUGGCGAUCUUAGAGUCGGGUUGUUUGGGAAUGCAGCCCAAAGUGGGAGGUAAACUUCUCCUAAGGCUAAAUACCAUGGCGAGACCGAUAGCGAACAAGUACCGUGAGGGAAAGUUGAAAAGCACUCUGAAGAGAGAGUUCAAUAGUACGUGAAACUGUCGAGAGGCAAACGGUGAAGGCGUCUCUUCGGCCCGUUCAGAUUCAGCCGAGCGUGCGUUCGCGGCUGGGGUUUUCCGAUCCGAAUGGACGGAGGCUUCGGUCGUCGGGCGUGGGAACGGUGCACUUCUGGGCGGGCUUAGUCGCGGCCGAUCGGUCGGGAGCGAAGUGCCCCUCGGGUUGACGGUUCGUCGCUUGCGUCGAGCCCAUACCCGGGGUGUGCAUGGCCUCUUGGUCGAUCGCGGCAGCGGAGCGACAGCCUUUGGCUCGUUCGCCCUCGUCCGCUCUCCGAGUCGGGGUAGAUCCGUCAGGAUGUGCUUCGGUGCAAGGGGGUGGGCUGGGGGUGGAUCGUUCGUCGUUCCCCGUCUGCGGCGCGGGUGCCCUUUACCGACCCGUCUUGAAACACGGACCAAGGAGUCUAACAUGUGUGCGAGUCUUGAGGGUGAGGAAAACCCGCAGGCGCAAUGAAGGUGAAGCCGGCCUCGCGUCGGUGAGGCGGGAGGGGGGUCCUCGGGCCUCUCGCACCGCCGUCCCGUCCGAAGCAUCCUCGCAUGCUGGGCGGAGGCUGAGCAUACACGUUGGGACCCGAAAGAUGGUGAACUAUGCCUGAACAGGAUGAAGCCAGGGGAAACUCUGGUGGAGGUCCGUAGCGAUUCUGACGUGCAAAUCGAUCGUCUGAUUUGGGUAUAGGGGCGA
Molecule: ribosomal RNA, 1035 nt
Filed under: Protodrilus cf. jagersteni KW117
Lineage: Eukaryota; Metazoa; Annelida; Polychaeta; Protodrilidae
Description: eukaryotic LSU rRNA
Rfam family: Eukaryotic large subunit ribosomal RNA
Source: RNAcentral